Molecule: transfer RNA, 75 nt
Filed under: Thermoplasmata archaeon
Lineage: Archaea; Methanobacteriati; Thermoplasmatota; Thermoplasmata
Description: tRNA-Arg
Rfam family: tRNA
About the family: Transfer RNA (tRNA) molecules are approximately 80 nucleotides in length. Their secondary structure includes four short double-helical elements and three loops (D, anti-codon, and T loops).
Source: RNAcentral
GGGCGCAUGGCCUAGUCUGGAUAAGGCACUGGCCUUCUAAGCCAGCAAUCGCGGGUUCGAAUCCCGCUGCGCCCG